CCUACGGGGCGCUGCAGUGGGGAAUAUUUCGCAAUGGGCGAAAGCCUGACGCAGCGACGCCGCGUGAGGGAUGAAGGUCUUCGGAUCGUAAACUUCUGUCAGCAGGGAAGAACGGUCACUGUGCUAAUCAGCAGUGAAUUGACGGUACCUGCAAAGGAAGCACCGGCUAACUCCGUGCCAGCAGCCGCGGUAAUACGGAGGGUGCGAGCGUUAAUCGGAAUUACGGGGCGUAAAGCGCUCGUAGGCGGUAUGUCAAGUCAAGGGUGAAAUCCCCGGGAUCAACGUGUGAACUGCCUUUGAAACUGUCAAACUUGAGUGUGUGAGAGGAUAGUGGAAUUCCAGGUGUAGGGGUGAAAUCCGUAGAUAUCUGGAGGAACAUCAGUGGCGAAGGCGACUAUCUGGCACAUAACUGACGCUGAGGAGCGACAGCGUGGGUAGCAAACAGGAUUAGAUACCCCGGUAGUC
RNAcentral lists this ribosomal RNA (465 nucleotides) under uncultured bacterium. RNAcentral describes it as "partial 16S ribosomal RNA". It matches the Rfam family "Bacterial small subunit ribosomal RNA", at positions 338 to 795 of the family's 1533-position model. The record is from RNAcentral.